AAGUCGUAACAAGGUUUCCGUAGGUGACCUGCGGAAGGAUCAUUG
RNAcentral lists this ribosomal RNA (45 nucleotides) under Bupleurum scorzonerifolium. RNAcentral describes it as "partial 18S ribosomal RNA". It matches the Rfam family "Eukaryotic small subunit ribosomal RNA", at positions 1786 to 1831 of the family's 1831-position model. Lineage: Eukaryota; Viridiplantae; Streptophyta; Magnoliopsida; Apiales; Apiaceae. RNAcentral also lists the same sequence under 1 other name. The record is from RNAcentral.